GCCAAAGCCCUCCACCUCCCCCUCCCACCAAAGAAGACUGCCAAGGGCUCCCUCUGGAAUCACUCGCAUCCAUUCAUUCAACACACAAGAGGUGGAGCAGCCAUCCUGCCACCAAGAGAUGACAAGAGGAUGAAAGUCACAGUGAGGAAAGAAAUGGCAGUCUGUAAUGCUAUCAUGUGGUAUUGCAUCAGCCCUGGACAAGUUCUACUUUGGAGCAAAUGAAGCUUUUUAGGUA
RNAcentral lists this long non-coding RNA (235 nucleotides) under Dasypus novemcinctus (nine-banded armadillo). RNAcentral's name for it is "lncRNA (ENSDNOG00000052503.1)". The record is from RNAcentral. Lineage: Eukaryota; Metazoa; Chordata; Mammalia; Cingulata; Dasypodidae.